AUGAUCGAUGCGUUUCAAAUUGUUCAAUCCAUUUACAUUUUCUACUUACUCAAAGGGACCAAGGGCUUUAGUGGUACUGCAUUUUCACUCUCGUUUUCCUCCGAGGAUUCACGGAGGUCUAGCCAACCUUGGGUCUUACAUGAGUUGAAAACCGUUGCAAUGAGUAACGAUGUCAUCAGUUGUAAAACAAACCGGUUGAGUGAUCGGGAAAAACUAUUAACGUUUUGUGAGGAUGUCGCCAUCUGCAAAAUGAAGCAAAUCAGAGUUUUCAAUGUUUCAAAAAGCGGAAUGAAAAAGGACGUCAAAAGCAUAGGGUUUGAUGGACCAAUAAUAGAUCGCUUACAUUCUUUCUGUCUAACUUUUGAAUAUUGACCGAUUAUUGCGGGUGAAGAGAGUGCCAUUCCUCUAUGAAGAAAUUCAAUUUUUAUCUUCAUCAAAAUUGGAAACUGGUAGAAUGUUAAUGAUGCACAUGGAACGUGAUAUACAAUGCCCGAAAAGUAUAGGGAAAUUGAUGGCAAAGGUAAGAUUUUUCGAAAUUUGAAAAUCCAAUUAGUUUAAAGCGUCCGAAAAUGCUCUUUCACUAAACUGCGUUGGUUGAUCAAGGGGAAUAUUAUGCUAUACGAUUUUUGGGAAAUCGAUUUUCUGAAAAACUUCCUCUUUUAUCAUGUGAUGGACAGUGUCACGUGCCAUAUGUGACGUACUUUGUGAUGGACAGUGUGAGGGAGGGUGAGGUGUGUUGUGUGUGACAUAAAUAGAGAAGUGGUAUACCUAUCGUCUCCAGAAAAAUUAACUCCAGUAAUCUUAAUUUUGAUCACCAUAGCUGUAAUUGAAAGCACAAAUCGACGGUGUAAGUCGGCAAUCACAUAACUCGGAAAACGCGAUUUUUCAGGAGAGGGGAAAAACUCUCCACAUUCCGCAUCUUUGAAGGUAGAGGGGAAAUAAUUCUUAGAGACAGCAAGGAUUAGAUGCUUUAUAAGACUCUAUCAUCAUUUUGAAUAAUAUUCCCGUAUGUCAGGAGAAAUGACCGAAAAACCGAGUUAUGUGUUUGUGGAACUAAGGUCCAACACUGAAUUCCGAGAUACGUGGUUGGUGAAUUACUGAUUCAAACCUAUUCUUUGCCGAUGUUGACUGAAUAAAGACUGAAUAAGACUCCUCUUACUUUAAAAGUAGCCUAAAGUUCUUCCUUAAAAUCCUUAAAAUUUUCG
Molecule: long non-coding RNA, 1205 nt
Filed under: Bemisia tabaci
Lineage: Eukaryota; Metazoa; Arthropoda; Insecta; Hemiptera; Aleyrodidae
Description: lncRNA ENSSSA2NGG010220
Source: RNAcentral